Molecule: ribosomal RNA, 492 nt
Filed under: uncultured bacterium
Lineage: Bacteria
Description: partial 16S ribosomal RNA
Rfam family: Bacterial small subunit ribosomal RNA
Source: RNAcentral
AGUGAACGCUGGCGGUAGGCCUAACACAUGCAAGUCGAACGGCAGCACAGUAAGAGCUUGCUCUUACGGGUGGCGAGUGGCGGACGGGUGAGGAAUACAUCGGAAUCUACUUUUUCGUGGGGGAUAACGUAGUGCAACUUACGCUAAUACCGCAUACGACCUACGGGUGAAAGCAGGGGAUCUUCGGACCUUGCGCGAUUGACUGAGCCGAUGUCGGAUUAGCUAGUUGGCGGGGUAAAGGCCCACCAAGGCGACGAUCCGUAGCUGGUCUGAGAGGAUGAUCAGCCACACUGGAACUGAGACAUGGUCCAGACUCCUACGGGAGGCGGCAGUGGGGAAUAUUGGACAAUGGGCGCAAGCCUGAUCCAGCCAUACCGCGUGGGUGAAGAAGGCCUUCGGGUUGUAAAGCCCUUUUGUUGGGAAAGAAAAGCAGCAGGUUAAUACCCCGCUGUUCUGACGGUACCCAAAGAAUAAGCACCGGCUAACUUCGUG